AUUGAACGCUGGCGGCAUGCCUUACACAUGCAAGUCGAACGGUAACGGGCCUUCGGGUGCCGACGAGUGGCGAACGGUUGAGUAAUACAUCGGAACGUGCCCGAUCGUGGGGUAUAACGAGGCGAAAGCUUUGCUAAUACCGCCUACGAUCUCCGGAUGACAGCAGGGGACCGCAAGGCCUUGCGCGGACUGAGCGGCCGAUGGCAGAUUAGGUAGUUGGUGGGAUAAAAGCUUACCAAGCCGACGAUCUGUAGCUGGUCUGAGAGGAUGAUCAGCCACACUGGGACUGAGACACGGCCCAGACUCCUACGGGAGGCAGCAGUGGGGAAUUUUGGACAAUGGGCGCAAGCCUGAUCCAGCCAUGCCGCGUGCAGGAUGAAGGCCUUCGGGUUGUAAACUGCUUUUGUACGGAACGAAAAGCCUUCUUUUAAUACAGGAGGGUCAUGACGGUACCGUAAGAAUAAGCACCGGCUAACUACGUG
Molecule: ribosomal RNA, 482 nt
Filed under: uncultured bacterium
Lineage: Bacteria
Description: partial 16S ribosomal RNA
Rfam family: Bacterial small subunit ribosomal RNA
Source: RNAcentral